This 1060-nucleotide long non-coding RNA is filed under the name Homo sapiens (human). RNAcentral's name for it is "HSALNT0280601". Lineage: Eukaryota; Metazoa; Chordata; Mammalia; Primates; Hominidae. The record is from RNAcentral.
GUUUGGAAACAGUUCUGGUUGACACAACUAGGGAACAGUGCAACUGGCAUCUAGUGGGUAGAGGCCAGGGAUGCUGUUAAACAUUCUACAAUGCAAAGGACAGUCCCAAUAACAAAGAAUUACCUGGCCCUAAAUGUCAUGAGUACCAAGGCCAAGACCUGGUCUAGGUGGAUGAGAGAUCAGUUUCACAUCCAAACCUCCAUGGUCUUACCAUUAGCAGAAAACAGCACAAUUGCUGUUUCGGGUCUGUCUACUUCUAAAAUUGUAUUCAUUAUUGAUCUGCGAGGUAAUUGUACUUCUGUAAGUUUUCUGACUAUUUAAAUUUUGCAUAAAUAUGCUGUAUGGGAGUGGGCAUGUAUAUAAAUGGCCAGGUUAUAUUGGUUACUAUACCUAGAUUAGAUUAGCUUUAGGAACAAACACAGUAAGAAGUCACUGAGUCUAAAAGAACGAAACCUGUUGAAAAAACAUAUCCAUGCCAAACUUUGUAGAAUAGGCAUAGCACUGCCCUGAAAAUGUAAUUCACACCUACAUAUCCCCAUUCCCUCCUUGUGUACCUUUCCUCUCCACCUCCCCCACCCGUCCACCCACUCCAUCACAUACGUUUGCCACCCACAGAAACCACACACAGCCCUUCCUUUCUGGCUUUCCAUUCAACCUCUCAUCACCCACCAAUCCCAGAGAAUGACAAAAAUCUUCUUGCGUGACUGAUCGACCCUAUGAGGCUUUUGUGGUUAAAAUAUAAAGUUCCUGAAAAAACCUUUCCAAAUCUGAAUGGGAUUGCAGUGACAUCAAAGCUUUUCCUCUUCAAUACCUUUCAUCUUUUUCAGACUCUGGCACUCUCCCCACCAGCUUCAAGUCAAUUAAUUGAAAAGUCAUUAGAAAGCUCCUCUGCUGUGAAGGCCCACCUCAUCAGCUCCAUAUCUGGGUCCUUCAAGAAGGAACAGAAGGGCCGUUGGCCUCCACAUUAUUGGUGCUUCGCCCACCUCCACCCUGUUCUGGUCUCAGACGCUGGAAUGGAGAUAGCACCUCUGAAUCCUCCCAAGUGGAUGAUCUGGCAAAG